RNAcentral lists this ribosomal RNA (428 nucleotides) under uncultured bacterium. Its description in RNAcentral is "bacterial SSU rRNA". It matches the Rfam family "Bacterial small subunit ribosomal RNA", at positions 917 to 1349 of the family's 1533-position model. The record is from RNAcentral.
GGGCCCGCACAAGCAGCGGAGCGUGUUGCUUAAUUCGAUGCAACGCGAAGAACCUUACCAGGGCUUAAAUGCAGAACGACAGAGGUGGAAACACCUCCUUCUUCGGACGGUCUGCAAGGUGCUGCAUGGUUGUCGUCAGCUCGUGCUGUGAAGUGUCGGGUUAAGUCCCAUAACGAGCGCAACCCCUAUUUCUAGUUGCCAGCGGUUCGGCCGGGGACUCUAGAGAGACCGCCGGUGAUAAACCGGAGGAAGGUGUGGAUGACGUCAAGUCAUCAUGCCCCUUACAUCCUGGGCUACACACGUGCUACAAUGGUAGGGACAGAGAGUUGCCAACCCGCGAGGGUGAGCUAAUCUUCAAACCCUAUCUCAGUUCGGAUCGGAGUCUGCAACUCGACUCCGUGAAGUUGGAAUCGCUAGUAAUCGCAUAU